GAGCCCCGAGAAGCAGCGAGCAGCACGGGGUGGGACCGGCCAACCGGAUACUCAGAAUGGACCGUUUUUCUUUCUCUUUUUACAGGUUUAAAAGGUUAACAGCGGAGUGCUCGAGAUACACAAAGCGACAGGCUUGUCAGGGUGAACUUGCGGGCUUCGCGUCUCGUCGAAACCUCUGGAACUGUCAGAAAAAAAAUUGAUUGAGAGUUAAGGUGUGGCUGAGGGUCUGUGUGAGGCUUCUGCACUGAAAAAUGUUACAAAACCGACUGUGUCUCCUCGAGAGUGGCCAGUCAGGGCCGAGACUCUUAUAUCUGCCAACGGCUUUAAAGAAUCUCUUCAGUCAUUUUCAUUAAGGAAGAUAUUACAUAACAAAUGUAUUGCCAUCUUGACGUGCGCAUCUUUUAGCUUAAAUCCUUCGCAGUAGCCCAGAUUAAUUGGAAUAUUACGCAGUUAAGAAGUAAAUCGGGUGUGUUUUUUUUUGUUGCUUGGGAGGUCGUAUUGGUUUCAUAAGUCUGAAAUGUAACGGACGUGGCAACUUUACAGUAGCCAGCCCUGCUGAAUGCCACAGGCAAACUGGGCGUGGGGGAAACAGUCCGAACAGAGCCUAAUAAUCCUCAAACCUCACCAAAGCGCGGCACAAAUUGCGCAUAUUUGAUAUAGUAUGACCGUAGUGACAAGUGCCUCGUUGGAGCCAGUGGAUUCACCUGAAUCAAAGUCAUACCAUCAGGAUCUACUUCCAGGAGUCUGCAGAGGUGUUAAUUGAUGGAGAUUUGUUUCAGGUCAGUGACUCGCCUGCCUGAUCCACUCCCAGGGAAUCGGCCUGUGAGUGCAUUAAGAGAUUGUUGAAGGAGGGAUGCAUAAGACUGAGAUGCAUGAGAGGAGAAGCACUUGCAGUAAGACGAAUCCACCUGACCCAACAGGAUGUGACCAUUGAGUUUUCUGCUACUAUGUAUUUCGAUGCCUGAGUAUGUGCAUCUAACCCUCAUUUCCUCCCUUUUUCCCCACCCAGAUGUGCCAGGCCAGUGCCACUAAACUCGGGUGGCCUGUACCUGUGCCUCUGCCAGCUGCUGCGCAAGCUGUGCAAGGUGAGAAAGCAGAACAGCAUCACAGAAAGAGACGAACAGGCAGCUGCUGCAAACAGAGAGGAACAUCAUCAAAGGAGUGCUGAGCCAGCCUACACAGCCCCAAUCAUAAUAUAUUUAUUAUUUACAGCAAAGACCUUAUUAUUAAGUGUCAAGCAUUUGAAAUUGGAAUUGAGGCGGUAUAAUUUUGUACUGUGCUACACUGAGAAGAAGAAAUGUGUUAUUAGUAAAAAGAAAAAUGUGUGUUUUGUGCAUUUUAAGCUUUUGUAACAUCUCAGUAAAACUACUGAAUUGAGAUCUCUUAAUGUUGAUUAACGACAUGAGGGUCCUGGAUGUCUCUUUUUACAACAUUAUCACAAAGAUUAAAUCAACAUUAAAUUACAUCACUGUAUAA
This is a long non-coding RNA of Seriola aureovittata, 1476 nucleotides long. RefSeq lists it as uncharacterized. The transcript has 3 exons. The record is from RefSeq and is a predicted model, not a curated record. Lineage: Eukaryota; Metazoa; Chordata; Actinopteri; Carangiformes; Carangidae.